This 446-nucleotide ribosomal RNA is filed under the name uncultured bacterium. RNAcentral's name for it is "partial 16S ribosomal RNA". It matches the Rfam family "Bacterial small subunit ribosomal RNA", at positions 338 to 795 of the family's 1533-position model. The record is from RNAcentral.
CCUACGGGCGGCAGCAGUCGAGAAUCAUUCACAACGGGGGAAACCCUGAUGGUGCGACGCCGCGUGGGGGAAUGAAGGUCUUCGGAUUGUAAACCCCUGUCAUGUGGGAGCAAAUUAAAAAGAUAGUACCACACGAGGAAGAGACGGCUAACUCUGUGCCAGCAGCCGCGGUAAUACAGAGGUCUCAAGCGUUGUUCGGAAUCACUGGGCGUAAAGCGUGCGUAGGCUGUUUCGUAAGUCGUGUGUGAAAGGCGCGGGCUCAACCCGCGGACGGCACAUGAUACUGCGAGACUAGAGUAAUGGAGGGGGAACCGGAAUUCUCGGUGUAGCAGUGAAAUGCGUAGAUAUCGAGAGGAACACUCGUGGCGAAGGCGGGUUCCUGGACAUUAACUGACGCUGAGGCACGAAGGCCAGGGGAGCGAAAGGGAUUAGAUACCCGAGUAGUC